Molecule: small nuclear RNA, 198 nt
Organism: Herpailurus yagouaroundi (jaguarundi)
Lineage: Eukaryota; Metazoa; Chordata; Mammalia; Carnivora; Felidae
Product: U2 spliceosomal RNA
Exons: 1
Source: RefSeq, a predicted model, not a curated record
AUCGCUUCUCGGCCUUUUGGCUAAGAUCAAGUGUAAAAUAUAUUUAAUUCUUUAGAAUUAAUUAAAUAAUUAAAAGUAAUUUUUUAAUGUUUAUUUAUUUUUGAGAGAGAGAGAGAGAGUGUGAGCAGGGGAGGGCGGAGAGAAAGGGAAACACAGAAUCUGAAGCAGGCUCCAGGCUCUGAGCUGUCAGCACAGGCU